UACGGUGUAGCUCAAAUGGUAGAGCAAGGAGGCUGAUAUGGGUUCGAGUCCCAUCACCGUAA
RNAcentral lists this transfer RNA (62 nucleotides) under Ligilactobacillus salivarius. RNAcentral's name for it is "tRNA-OTHER". It matches the Rfam family "tRNA". Rfam says of the family: Transfer RNA (tRNA) molecules are approximately 80 nucleotides in length. Their secondary structure includes four short double-helical elements and three loops (D, anti-codon, and T loops). Lineage: Bacteria; Bacillati; Bacillota; Bacilli; Lactobacillales; Lactobacillaceae. The record is from RNAcentral.